Long non-coding RNA from Sorghum bicolor (sorghum), 835 nucleotides. RefSeq lists it as uncharacterized. NCBI's taxonomy places the organism in Eukaryota, Viridiplantae, Streptophyta, Magnoliopsida, Poales, Poaceae. The record is from RefSeq and is a predicted model, not a curated record. The transcript is spliced from 4 exons.
CGCAUCGCUCGGGCUGCCCCGAUUCAUUCGAACUUGCGCCUCCCCAGCCACAGCUGCUGUGGCGACCCAACCCCAGCCCGACUCCACCUCCCCCCGCCGCCUCCCCCCGCGGCUUCGUCGUCAAGAGCAGGGUUCCGGCGGCCGCGUCUCCCUCUGCUCCCCCCUCCCCCACACUCGGUUUACGAGUCGGCGCGCUACCGGAGGUCCUCGCCCCCAAGACUCGUACGCCCGUCGUCCCGGCGGCGAUCCGGCCGGCACCAGAACCCUAGGGAUCCGACGAAGCAGUGGAAGGUUAGCAAGUUUGAUGAUGCUGAUUGGAGCCUAGUUCUCUCAAGUCUGAAGAGCAGAAGAGCAAAAGCAACAUAAUUUGAGUUAUCUAUCCUACCUUCUCUUUCCUUGCAGUUUCAACAGUUCAGAAGAGCAACAUGGGGGUCCUUUGUUUAUCGAUUCCAGCAACAGUUUCAGCUUCAGUUCUUGUGCAAAAGCAGGUGGGCAGCACAUAAGCUGCUUGGCUCUUAUCUCAGAUAUGCACACAUCAGACCAUGUUGAUUUACACUGGACCCACAUAAUUGGCCUAGGAGCAGUUGGCCUACAUUGAGCUAAGAGGAAAGGAGGUGGCUAGGAGGUAUAUGCAUGGCCAUUUAUUCUAUAAAGCAACCGUUACUUCAUAGAUCUGGUGGAUACUCUAUGUAAUCACUUACAGUUUAACAUUGUCAUGUAUUAUGAUCACAAGAGCUUGUAUUGUGAAGUGUGAAAUAUUUGUGUACUGCUAUGAAAUAUACCAUAUUGGGAAAUAUGAGAUUCAGAAAUGUACACGGUGCAUCUAGAUUUUUUU